This 1165-nucleotide ribosomal RNA is filed under the name Aeromonas hydrophila. RNAcentral describes it as "partial 23S ribosomal RNA". It matches the Rfam family "Bacterial large subunit ribosomal RNA", at positions 1 to 1211 of the family's 2925-position model. The record is from RNAcentral. Lineage: Bacteria; Pseudomonadati; Pseudomonadota; Gammaproteobacteria; Aeromonadales; Aeromonadaceae. RNAcentral also lists the same sequence under 1 other name.
GUUGUAUGGUUAAGUGACUAAGCGUACAUGGUGGAUGCCUUGGCAGUCAGAGGCGAUGAAGGACGUACUAACCUGCGAUAAGCCGUGAGCAGUCGGUAAGAGACAUUACGACUCACGGAUUUCCGAAUGGGGAAACCCACUUAGCAUAAGCUAGGUAUCGCUACGUGAAUACAUAGCGUAGCGAGGCGAACCGGGAGAACUGAAACAUCUAAGUACCCCGAGGAAAAGAAAUCAACCGAGAUUCCCUCAGUAGCGGCGAGCGAACGGGGAUUAGCCCUUAAGCAUCUUGGAAGUUAGUGGAACGGUCCUGGAAAGGCCGGCGAUACAGGGUGAUAGCCCCGUACACGAAAACAACCUUGAUGUGAAAUCGAGUAGGGCGGGACACGUGACAUCCUGUCUGAAUAUGGGGGGACCAUCCUCCAAGGCUAAAUACUCCUGACUGACCGAUAGUGAACCAGUACCGUGAGGGAAAGGCGAAAAGAACCCCUGUGAGGGGAGUGAAAUAGAACCUGAAACCGUGUACGUACAAGCAGUGGGAGCCCUUCGGGGUGACUGCGUACCUUUUGUAUAAUGGGUCAGCGACUUACAUUUUGUAGCGAGGUUAACCGUAUAGGGGAGCCGUAGGGAAACCGAGUCUUAACUGGGCGUCUAGUUGCAAGGUGUAGACCCGAAACCGGGUGAUCUAGCCAUGGGCAGGUUGAAGGUUGAGUAACAUCAACUGGAGGACCGAACCCACUAACGUUGCAAAGUUAGGGGAUGACCUGUGGCUGGGGGUGAAAGGCCAAUCAAACUCGGAGAUAGCUGGUUCUCCCCGAAAGCUAUUUAGGUAGCGCCUCGGACGAAUACUACUGGGGGUAGAGCACUGUUUGGGCUAGGGGGUCAUCCCGACUUACCAACCCCAUGCAAACUCCGAAUACCAGUAAGUAAUAUCCGGGAGACACACGGCGGGUGCUAACGUCCGUCGUGAAGAGGGAAACAACCCAGACCGCCGGCUAAGGUCCCAAAGUUCUGGUUAAGUGGGAAACGAUGUGGGAAGGCUCAGACAGCUAGGAUGUUGGCUUAGAAGCAGCCAUCAUUUAAAGAAAGCGUAAUAGCUCACUAGUCGAGUCGGCCUGCGCGGAAGAUGUAACGGGGCUCAAACCAGGCACCGAAGCCGCGGAUUCAC